Long non-coding RNA from Zalophus californianus (California sea lion), 375 nucleotides. RefSeq lists it as uncharacterized. The transcript has 3 exons. The record is from RefSeq and is a predicted model, not a curated record. NCBI's taxonomy places the organism in Eukaryota, Metazoa, Chordata, Mammalia, Carnivora, Otariidae.
AGGAGCCUGCCCCGGAGAAGCCUCUGCCCGGUGCUUGGAGACCUGCCCUUCUGGCCUCUGCCUGGACCUUGGAGGGCACCGGCCACUGAGGCGCAGACCUUGCGCUGGGCUCCAGGAGGGACGCCGGCUCAGCGUCAGCCCCGGCUAGAAGUGAGGGACCAAGGACCCAGCUGGAACCACCAGGACCCGAUGACGGCACCAGCCACCCAAGGCACAAGGCGCCACAAACCACUGUUCCAUAAACCAAAGCCAAAACUUGUCCUUGCCCUCCCCUCCCCCCAUGGCUGCUCCCUCCCUCCCCCUUGCCUUUCUCUGGCCAGGAGCUCCCCUCCAAGGACCCCUAGAGGAGCCCAGACUGCAAGGAGCGGCUGUGCC